UACAGAGACUGCAAGCGUUAUUCGGAUUCACUGGGCGUAAAGGGUGCGCAGGCGGCCGUGUGUGUGAGGCGUGAAAGCCCGAUGCUUAACAUAGGAAUUGCACCUCAAACUACACGGCUAGAGCAUUGGAGAGGGUAGCGGAAUUCACGGUGUAGCAGUGAAAUGCGUAGAUAUCGUGAGGAACACCAGAGGCGAAGGCGGCUACCUGGACAAUUGCUGACGCUCAGGCACGAAAGCGUGGGGAGCAAAAGGG
RNAcentral lists this ribosomal RNA (253 nucleotides) under uncultured bacterium. RNAcentral describes it as "partial 16S ribosomal RNA". It matches the Rfam family "Bacterial small subunit ribosomal RNA", at positions 524 to 776 of the family's 1533-position model. The record is from RNAcentral.